UACCGCAUCCUACCUUGCAAGGUUCAGUUGGGGUUUUCAUUUGUUGGACCGUGACCGUGAAAGAUCUCUCUCGUGGUAUUCGAAGAAAAACGAAACACUAGUUACUUCGCUUCGUUUUGUACAAUGGCGCAAGAGCAACACUCAUCAACGCGACUAUCGAUGAUCGAUGCAGUACCUGUAUUUCUCGUUCUUCUAAUAGCAGCUCAUGUUCUCGGACUGGUAUUUUGGAUUUACAAAUUAGCAACUCAGAAACAGCCACUUCAGCGGCGAAAGGCUCACUAAAGAAGAAGGAAAAAGUUUGCAUCCUUGGAGAAAAGAAAUCUUGCUGCUGACUGCUUUGGGAAAUUGUCAAUGCUCUGAAAGUGGCUAGCUAUAAAAUAUUGUUCAUUUUCCUCCAGGUCUUGUGAGAUUGUUUGAAGUAGGAAUCUAUACUUAAAUUUAUAUUUGGUCAUUGCAUGUGUUACUUGUCAGUUGUCACUAGUUAUUUAUCAGUCAAUCUUCCUUUACAAAACUCAGACAGAAUUUGAGUCGAUGAAGUGCAUUAUUAGGGGUAAAAUUAAUAGUGCAAGUUGCUAUUCUGAUGCUUGUUAAUUUGUUGGUAUGCCUUGGGCUAUAUCAGUAUGUUUAAGAA
This is a long non-coding RNA of Trifolium pratense (red clover), 631 nucleotides long. RefSeq lists it as uncharacterized. The record is from RefSeq and is a predicted model, not a curated record. The transcript is spliced from 3 exons. Lineage: Eukaryota; Viridiplantae; Streptophyta; Magnoliopsida; Fabales; Fabaceae.